UUUCUACUCCCUUCGUCCGAAAAUACUUGUCAUCAAAAUGGAUAAAAAGAGAUGUAUCUAAAACUAAAAUACGUCUAGAUACAUUUCCUUUUAUCCAUUUUGAUGACAAGUAUUUCCGGACGGAGGGAGUAUUUG
This is a non-coding RNA of Triticum aestivum (bread wheat), 135 nucleotides long. The record is from Rfam. Lineage: Eukaryota; Viridiplantae; Streptophyta; Magnoliopsida; Poales; Poaceae.